This 2579-nucleotide long non-coding RNA is filed under the name Macaca fascicularis (crab-eating macaque). RNAcentral's name for it is "lncRNA (ENSMFAG00000061799.1)". Lineage: Eukaryota; Metazoa; Chordata; Mammalia; Primates; Cercopithecidae. The record is from RNAcentral.
AUGUCUGGAACGGAUGCCUUGGUUCCUUCUGAGCCUCUAUCAAAAUGCCUGGGGUUUCUUAAACAGUGGAAGCAAAAGAAGCUUGGAAGUCAUGUCACUUGGUCAAAAGUAUUCUCAUUUGAGGUAGUUGAAAUCUCACAUCAUGAACUAGCAACAAUCCCUAGUUCAGAGGAUCGGGAGAUUUGCAGUGGCCCUCUGAGGAGACAGUAUGACCUACAUUUGAGAACCACAGAAAGUAUGCCAAAAUGCUAUGACAGACAACAUUACUAUAUAUUGUGAUGAUGGUAUGUUCAGUAGUUUUCCGGAAAAGGUUACAAAAUCAAGGAUAGUGCUUUAAAAUUUUACUCUUUUGUUGUAUGGAAAGUAAUUUUCCUAUAUAAUUCAUUAGAAUUACACAUGAUGUGGACUUUUGUUUAAAUGGACUUCCUAUUUUAGAAUGUUUUUUUUAGACAGGGUCUCACUCUGUUGCCCAGGCUGAAGUGUAGUGGUGUGAUCACGGCUCACUGCAGCCUUGACCUCCCAGGCUUAAGCAUCUCAAUCUUCUGAGUCCACCUCAGUCUUCUGAGGAUUUAGGACUACAGGUGCCCACCACUAUGUCCAGCUAAUUUUUAGUGAUGAGGUAGCAGAGAAAUAGGAACACUUUUACACUGUUGGUGAGAAUUAGUUCUAAUUAGUAAAUUAGUUCACCACUGUGGAAGACAGUGUGGUGAUUCCUCAAAGUUUUAGAACUGGAGAUACCAUUUGACCCAGCAAUUCCAUUACUGGGUAUAUACUCAGUAUAUACUUGGAAUAUAAGUCAUUCUAUUAUAAUGAUACAUGUACCUGUAUGUUCACUGAAGCACUACUCACAAUAGCAAAGACAUGGAAUCCACCCAAAUGCCCAUCAAUGAUAGACUGGAUAAAGAAAAUGUGAUACAUACACCAUAGAAUACUAUGCAGUCAUAAAAAGGAGCAAGAUCAUACCCUUUGCAGGGACAUGGAUGAAGCUGGAAGCCAUUAUUCUCAGCAAACUAAUGCAGGGACAGAAAACCAAACACUGCAUAUUCUCAUUUAUAAGUGGGAGCUGAACAAUGAGAACACAGGAAGGGGAAUAAUACACGCCAGGGCCUGUUUGGGGAGAGCAGGGUGUCAGGGGGUAGAGCAUUAGGAAAAAGAGUUAAUGCAUGCUGGGCUUCAUACCUAGAUGACUCUUUUAGUUGGCUCCUGAAUUCCUUUGACAGACACCUCUCUCCCCUUCAUUGCAUGUAUGUGUGGGGUUUUUUUUGUUUUUUUUUUUUGCACUUCCUUUUGUCACUACAAGAUACUUCAGGCUCCUCUUGAGUAGUACCUGCCCCAGUGUUAGAAUUGGCCAGUUGUCCAAGGAGCCCAGGACCCUUUUAUUAGUAAAUACUGUUAGAAACCAGGACCUGGGCUGCAGGUGUGCUCCUCAUUACUGGGUGUUACUGCCUCUAGACCCUCUGCGCUGACAGGGUAAGGCAGUGUGUGUGUACUAACCAGUGUGUAUACAUAUAUCCAUACAUAUUUCUAUGUGUAACAGUGUGUACCCAUAUUAAACUAAACAUGAAUGUAUAUUGAGGUUUCUAGUUUGAAUCUAUUAUCACGUGGAUGAUUCUAGCUUCUUCCCUUGUUUAUCUGUAAACUCCACUCCCAGAGCGCUGGGAUUACAGGCAUGAGCCACCGUGCCUGGCCAUUUUGUCUAUUUUUAAACUGAGUUGUUCGUUUUCUUUUUUUUUUUUUUUUUUUUUGUUUGAGACGGAGUCUCGCUGUGUCGCCCAGGCUGGAGUGCAGUGGCGGGAUCUCAGCUCACUGCAAGCUCUGCCUCCCGGGUUUUUACGCCAUUCUCCUGCCUCAGCCUCCCGAGUAGCCGGGACUACAGGCGCCCGCCACCUCGCCCGGCCAGUUUUUGUAUUUUUAGUAGAGACGGGGUUUCACCGUGUUAGCCAGGAUGGUCUCGAACUCCUGACCUCGUGAUCCGCCCGUCUCGGCCUCCCAAAGUGCUGGGAUUACAGGCUUGAGCCACCGCGCCCGGCGAGUGGUUCGUUUUCUGAGUUUUACGAGUUCUUUUUAUAUUUUGGAUUCAAGUUCUUUAUCUGCUAUAUUUUUUACAAAUAUUUUCUCCCAGUGUGUGGCUUAUCUUUUCAUUCUCUUAACAGUAUCUUUCAUAGAGUAAAUGUUUUAAAUUUUGAUAAAGUCCAAUCUAUCAAUUUUUUUUGUCAUGAAUUGUACCUUUGGUGAUAUAUAUAAAAACUCAUUACCAAAUCUAAAAACUCAUUACCAAAUCCAAGAUCAUCUGUAUUUUCAACUAGAUUUUCUUCUAGAAGUUAUAGUCUUACAUUUCAUUUAGGCCUAUGAUUCAUUUUAAGUUAGUAUUCAUGAAAGGUGUACUGUGUCUAUGGUUUUCUUUUUCUUUUUUCCUAUAGGUGUCCAAUUUCUUCAGCAUCAUUUUCGGCAAAGACUACCGUGCCUCUAAUAAAUUAUCUUUGUUUCUUUAUGAUGGUAUUGGCAAGCAUUUUGUAAUGAAGAUACAAUGACAAUCUGUUAAACCCUUUUUUUUUUUUGAGACCAAGUCUCACUCUGUC